This is a long non-coding RNA of Astyanax mexicanus (Mexican tetra), 563 nucleotides long. RefSeq lists it as uncharacterized. The transcript has 3 exons. NCBI's taxonomy places the organism in Eukaryota, Metazoa, Chordata, Actinopteri, Characiformes, Acestrorhamphidae. The record is from RefSeq and is a predicted model, not a curated record.
UGUUAAAAAAGAUUCCUUCGAGCCGGAUUCGAACCAGCGACCUAAGGAUAUCCGUAUUCAACCUCUACAGUCCUCCGCUCUACCAACUGAGCUAUCGAAGGGUUAAACAGAUGUGCUUCAUACUGGUAGGGAACAGUGCCAACUUGGUUGUAUAGGAAUCCUCCCCACUACGCACUUACACAGGGAAGUUGGUUCACUUUUUGAAUGACAGCUUUGUGAAGGUAUUCAGAAAGAAUUUGGUUUCUGCAUUCACAUCACCCGGGAAAUACACUGGGGAGCUUACUAGAGUGCAGUACUUCUUAAGGCAGAACAAUGAGCCCUUGCAAGACAUGUGCUCCACAUCUGAGAACAUGUCAGCGUUGCUGGAGGAUUUGAAUGUACAAGAUCUUGGAGAUGAGGGCUUUGUCGAAUCAACUAAUGAUAAUUAAAUCAUAUUGGCAGAUCUAAUGAUUUCAGAUGUGGCAUCUCUCUGAGCCCCGAAGGUACGCAACUGAGCUAUCGAAGGGUUGAAAAGAUGUGUUUCAUGAGCUGAAGUGUCCCUAUUUUGCCAAUAAACCGUCUAC